AGCGAACGCUGGCGGCAGGCUUAACACAUGCAAGUCGAACGAUCCUUCGGGAUAGUGGCGGACGGGUGAGUAACACGUGGGAACGUGCCUUUAGGUUCGGAACAACACAGGGAAACUUGUGCUAAUACCGGAUAAGCCCUUCGGGGAAGGAUUAUCGCCUUAGUAGCGGCCCGCGUCUGAUUAGCUUGUUGGUGAGGUAAAGGACUCACCAAGGCUACGAUCAGUAGCUGGUCUGAGAGGAUGGCCAGCCACCAUUGGGACGUGAGACACGGCCCAAACUACCUACGGGAGGCAGCAGUGGGGAAGUCUUGCGCAAUGGGCGGAAAGACCUGACGCAGCCAUGCCGCGUGGAUGAUGAAGGUCUUAGGAUUGUUAAAAUCCUUUCAGCGGGGACGAUAAUGACGGUACCCGCAGAAG
RNAcentral lists this ribosomal RNA (417 nucleotides) under uncultured bacterium. Its description in RNAcentral is "bacterial SSU rRNA". It matches the Rfam family "Bacterial small subunit ribosomal RNA", at positions 29 to 487 of the family's 1533-position model. The record is from RNAcentral.